GAUUGGAAAUUGGAACAGUGUAAAAAAUUUUACACUGUUCUUUUACUUUUACAAAAUUUAAAUAUAAUAGUUCCCUUUCUUUUUGAAUGUUUUCAGUACAUUAUGUUUCAAAAAUCUCACUAUAAUUUUUUUCUUUUCGCAUUAAAAUUAAGCACCACCUCUUUUCAAACUUUUAACACUAUCUUUUUUUUCAAUAUCGCAUUACCACCUCUGUCUACGAUCUAUUUUAAUACCAAUUUAUUACACAACACCGUUCUGUGGAUAUUAAGUUUCAGUUUUGCCAUAAAAAAAACACUUUAGGGUUUCUAAUUUUAUUUUGCUUUUUCUUUUUUUUAACAGUUUUCCGCGUAACCUUCAAUCCAGCUCGAAGAACCAAAAAAUGUUUGCGAAUAAUUAAAAAUAAGUUUUAAAAACACUUUUAAAAUUUUAAAUGAAAAAUAAGUUUUUUUAGUAUUUAAAUAUUAGAAAAAUAAGUAAAUUUAGAAAAAAAUUAUAUACUUCUUUUUUGGAAAAAUUACAAAUUACACAUAUCUUUAUAUAUCUACGUUAUAUUUGCUUUCUUUUCUUCUUUUUCUUCAAGAACUUGACAAUUCAAAUUUAUAUAAAUGUUAUAUAUAAAAUGUUCAAAUUAUAUAACUCAAGAAAAUUAUUUUAUGUUUAAUAUUUCGAAAUAUGUAGUAAUUUCCAGAAUAACCAGUUGUGCAACGGUGAAGUUGUUCCUGGCCAGUCCCACUUUUCGUUUGUUAACGUAUUUCUUCUUUUCUUUUAUGUUGAUCAUAUGAUAUUGUUGGAUAGUUUAAUUGAAAAACUUCUUCUUGAAAAACUGCUUGGUUUGAAGUUUAUUAAUUUAUUUAUAAAAAAUCUGACUUAUUUAUACAAAAAUUAUACUACCUAAAAUUAAUUAUUUCCCACAGAAAUAGACUAGUAAGCAAUUUUAUGCAUUUAUAUAAUUUAUAAUUUUUCCAUGUUAACUUAACGUACGUUAAUUUACUUAAAGUAAAAUUAACAAACAAAAUAUAUGUAAUUUGACUAAUACUAAAAUAUUGGGAGAAAGUUAUGUAUGGGAAAAUAUUUAGAUUAACUAACUAUAAUGUUUGCCAGUACGUGUGCGUUAAUAUUAAGUUUUGACAAAUUAGAAUUUUAGCAAUUUUGAUAACUUAAAUAAAUGGGAAAAUAAUAAUAAGAAAUAUAUAAUUCAGAAUAAUUGUUGUUACACAACAGAUGUAGUUCACCGAACCUCUAAUGAAAUGUAUCAUUCUUAUGUACACCGCAAUACAAAUUGUUGUAAAAUUCUACGUUUCUUCGUUUCUGUUUUAUGCUAUUUUCCCCUUCAAUUCUCCAUUUCAUUCACCUUCUAUUUUUGUUCUUACUCCAUUACAUUUCUAUCAAUAGCUGACUAUAACUCUACAUAAACUUGUCUACCAUAGGUGACAGUUGGCAGCAUUGAUAUAUGUUUGUGCAGAAAUAAUCACUGCGAACUGUUAUCCUCUAGCUUCAUUUAUAUUGUUGAAGUGAGUAUCAGUGUUUAAUAAAAUAAAAAUAUAAUUUUUAGAAAAAUUAGAAAUUUAAUGGACCUGGAGUCCAAAAAAUAAAAGGCAGAAAUCUAAGGAGAAAACGAUGAAAGAUGAAGUUCAACCAAAAAGUGCUAAAUCGGCAUUGGAAGACCCUAUCUGGACUGAUGGAUGCAUGACUGGAAAAUAUUACAAAUUCAUAUGAAGAAGCAAAAGCCGUUGAGUGGAUUACACUGGACUAUAACGAAAUUAGAUAAGUAACAAAAAAUGUUCUCCUAUACUACGUGGUGUUUCUUUAUGGUUUUUUUGUUGUUUUCUUUUUAAAAAAAAAGCAGUGUGACUUCAUGACGGAACAUUCUCCCGGCCUUGGCAUCUAUGUUGAAAGAUGACAAAAACAGUGAUGUGUAGAUAUGUUACUGGAGAAUAAAAGGUGUGUUGCUGGAGAGCAAUGAUAUUGAUACCGAAUAAGCCAAAUUUUGAUGUUAAUUGGUAAAUUUUAAAAUUUCGAUUAAACGUUCCAAAUGCAAAUUGCACCCAUCACAAAAGUCAUGUCCUUUUAGGUCUUCAC
This is a long non-coding RNA of Condylostylus longicornis, 2079 nucleotides long. RefSeq lists it as uncharacterized. The record is from RefSeq and is a predicted model, not a curated record. Lineage: Eukaryota; Metazoa; Arthropoda; Insecta; Diptera; Dolichopodidae. The transcript has 2 exons.